RNAcentral lists this RNase P RNA (329 nucleotides) under Rhizobacter gummiphilus. RNAcentral describes it as "RNase P RNA component class A". It matches the Rfam family "Bacterial RNase P class A". From Rfam's summary of the family: Ribonuclease P (RNase P) is a ubiquitous endoribonuclease, found in archaea, bacteria and eukarya as well as chloroplasts and mitochondria. Lineage: Bacteria; Pseudomonadati; Pseudomonadota; Betaproteobacteria; Burkholderiales; Sphaerotilaceae. The record is from RNAcentral. RNAcentral also lists the same sequence under 1 other name.
GAAGCGAGCCAGACCGCCGCUGGUGCAUGUCCCGAAAGGGCGCACUGGAGGAAGGUCCGGACUGCGCAGGGCGGCGUAGCAGCCAACGGCUGUCCACCGCAAGGUGAGGAUCAGAGCAACAGAGACGAGCCGAUUCAGUUCGGGUGAAACGGGCAAUCUCUACGCGCAGCAAUACCAAGUAGGCACACGUUGACCUGGCCCGGGGAGUGUGCGGGUAGGUAGCACCGAGCCAUCGCAGCGAUGCAUGGCCCAGAGGAAUGGCGGUCACGCCCUCGGCCCCGCAAGGGAUCGAGGGCGCACAGAAUCCGGCCUAUCGGCUCGCUUCACAU